This 306-nucleotide ribosomal RNA is filed under the name Triticum aestivum (bread wheat). Its description in RNAcentral is "partial small subunit ribosomal RNA". Lineage: Eukaryota; Viridiplantae; Streptophyta; Magnoliopsida; Poales; Poaceae. The record is from RNAcentral.
AUGUCGCUCACCGCGUCAUCCAGGUCACCCUCAGACGCAUCGCUGGCGUCGCUAUCACCAUCACCGACGUCUCUGUCAUCGUCACCGGCAUCGUCACCACCAUCGCCGACGCCACCCUCGCCAUCGUCCACCACGUCGGCUCCAUUUGCAGCGACCACCACCGCGUCAUCCUCAGAGGUGAAGGUCGUGACUAGGGCAUCCACAUUGUCCUCAACCCAGUGCGCCAGGUCAUCCCGGAUGGCCUGGGCACUGGAGAAAUGGCGGCAUCGAAGUCAAAGUUGCGGUAGGUGUUCUGGAGAUGCCUGA